GCUGGGCGCGGUGGCGGGCACCUGUAAUCCCAGCUACUCAGGAGGCUGAGGCAGGAGACUUGCUUGAACCCGGGAGGCGGAAUUUUCAGUGAGCCGAAAUCAAGCCACUGCACUCUAGCCUGGGUGACAGAGCAAGACUCUGCCUCAA
Non-coding RNA from Homo sapiens (human), 148 nucleotides. It matches the Rfam family "Metazoan signal recognition particle RNA". Rfam says of the family: The signal recognition particle (SRP) is a universally conserved ribonucleoprotein. It is involved in the co-translational targeting of proteins to membranes. NCBI's taxonomy places the organism in Eukaryota, Metazoa, Chordata, Mammalia, Primates, Hominidae. The record is from Rfam.